Molecule: non-coding RNA, 206 nt
Filed under: Rossellomorea marisflavi
Lineage: Bacteria; Bacillati; Bacillota; Bacilli; Caryophanales; Bacillaceae
Also listed under: 1 other name
Description: Bacillus marisflavi T-box sequence
Rfam family: T-box leader
About the family: Uncharged tRNA acts as the effector for transcription antitermination of genes in the T-box leader family. T-boxes are found upstream of many aminoacyl-tRNA synthetase genes and some amino acid biosynthetic genes usually in Gram-positive bacteria.
Source: RNAcentral
UGUAAAGCGAUGAGAGGAAAUCCAGUAGCGACGAUCUCCAUGUUUAAGAGAGCCGGUGGGUGGUGCGAACCGGUACAAAGGUCGGGUGAAUUACAAUCCUUGAGCGUCCCUGCAUUCGUGGGGAACGGACGAACCGUUAUUCGAUUGAGUGGAAGAAUCAUUGUCUUCAAGAAGGGUGGUACCGCGUGAGCAAUCACGUCCCUUUU